This 1723-nucleotide long non-coding RNA is filed under the name Homo sapiens (human). RNAcentral describes it as "HSALNT0231070". Lineage: Eukaryota; Metazoa; Chordata; Mammalia; Primates; Hominidae. The record is from RNAcentral.
CUUCCAGGAUUUAUCCCCUACAGGGUUCUUCUGCUCACUGGGUCAGAAGCAUCCGAUUUCCUGUCAUCGGUUGCGGUUCAGCCAUGUUAAUACUGAAAGUAUAAGAAUAUCAUAAUCCCAGAGUGAUAUAAAGACCUUUCCAAGGAAGAUGAGAUACCCGGAGGCUGUGAAGGAGAAGUCUGAAGGAUUUGAACGCGUUCAAAUGAAAACCUUUGGUUCAGCAAAACACCAGAAACAAAUUCAAAAGAUAAAAUACACUCCGGAGAAGCCCAUUCUCUCAACGCAUCUGACAGUUCACAAAGAGCAACUGCAGUCCAACUUAAAAAAUAAAGAAAAUGGUAGGAAAAUGGGCAACAUGCACUGAGGCAAUAUAUAAGAAGAAGGAAUGCGCAAUUAAUCAACAAAAGCCUGCUCUUUCCUAACGAGUGAAGAUACAAGCUUAGUAAAUAUUAAAAUUUAUUGAAGAUAAAAAUGGACACUUCCGGCCAUAUAUAAAAGCAUUGUUGGUAAGAGAGUGGGGUAAUUGACAUGCUCCUGGGAAAUAAUACGCAUUCAGACAACCUCUAAUGAGUGAAUCCACUGGGGGUAUCCACUAGGAAUAGAAAACGACCACCAAUGCCCAAGUUUGUGGUCCAGAAUUUGAGCAGCGAUCUAACAAAGUAGAGUCUCCCCCUGUGUCAUGGGCCCCACUUCUUAAGCAAAGAAGAAUGCCUCAUUUUGGUAACUCACCCAAAUAAACAGAAAUUUUUUUUGAUAAUCUUAUCGCAUUUAUUUGGUUAAGUCUGAGGCAGAAUAUUUUUCUCCUUUGUAUCUUUGUUUUGUUUUGUUUUAAUCCUUGAAGUUUAUUACCAAACUACAUCUUGGUGUUUCUUCAGGAUGUGAACAGGCCUUUCUAUUCUCAAUUAAGUGUUUCUUUCCUUUAAUUCAGGAAUCUUCUAAUCAUGUAUUUUAAUUUCUUUUUCUGUCAUCCCUCCCCACGCCAUAAGCUACCAGUCACUAUACAUGUUGGAGCUCUCUUUAUUGUGCCAUAGAUCUCUGAUGUCAUGUCUUUAGUCAUUAUUUUGUGUCAGAAAUUUUUGUUCUUCCGGGGACAUCUGGCAAUAUCUAGAGACAUGCUACUGGCACCUAUAGAAAUGCUAGUGACUUAUUAUGGGUAGAGGCUAAAGAUGCUGCUAAAUAUCCUACAAUGCCCAGGACAGCCACUGCCACAACAAAGAAUUAUGCAGUCCACAAUGUCCAUAGUGCUAAGGAGAAGAAACCCUGUCCUAGGGUCAAGGUUGGAUGCUGACAAGACUAAUUUCAAGUGAUUUCAAACGAUUGUGGGGAAAAUACCCAGAAGUUGACAGGAGCAAUAUGUAGAUAUUUCCUUCUGUAAAUUAUAUUUCCCUAAUGCUAAUGCUGGAGCAUUUGGAAACACGUGUAUAAAUAUUUGAAGCACAAAACCAGAGAGAUGCUCUUAUGUAUUUAGCUUCUAGUUUUAAAUAAUAGAUACUACAAUAAACCUUGAUUAAACCUUGAUUAUCUGAUAUGCUCUGGGUUUGUGCUUUUUGUGUGGGUUACAUUUUCUAGUUAAUGAAUGUUUAACCACAAAAUAUUUUUGUUUCAAGCUUUGCUUUGCAAAAAUAUAGCAUUUCUAACUGAGGUGCUUGUAAUGUCCCUGGAUUAUGAAGUAAGUUGAAAACCCUGAAAUUCUAUAUAAAUAAAGGAGGGGAGCGUAUUAUGG